RNAcentral lists this ribosomal RNA (1203 nucleotides) under metagenome. RNAcentral's name for it is "bacterial LSU rRNA". It matches the Rfam family "Bacterial large subunit ribosomal RNA", at positions 1732 to 2925 of the family's 2925-position model. The record is from RNAcentral.
AACUUCGGGAAAAGGUACGCCCUUGUAGCUUGACUGAUUUACUUCAGUAGGGCGAACGGGUUGCAAUAAACUGGUGGCUGCGACUGUUUAAUAAAAACACAGCACUCUGCAAACACGAAAGUGGACGUAUAGGGUGUGACGCCUGCCCGGUGCUGGAAGAUUAAAUGAUGGGGUGCAAGCUCUUGAUUGAAGUCCCAGUAAACGGCGGCCGUAACUAUAACGGUCCUAAGGUAGCGAAAUUCCUUGUCGGGUAAGUUCCGACCUGCACGAAUGGCGUAACGAAGGCCACACUGUCUCCUCCCGAGACUCAGCGAAGUUGAAGUGUUUGUGAUGAUGCAAUCUACCCGCGGCUAGACGGAAAGACCCCAUGAACCUUUACUGUAGCUUUGCAUUGGACUUUGAAUCAAUCUGUGUAGGAUAGGUGGGAGGCUUUGAAGCGGGGACGCCAGUUCUCGUGGAGCCAACCUUGAAAUACCACCCUGGUUCAUUUGAGGUUCUAACCUUGGCCCGUUAUCCGGGUCGGGGACAGUGCAUGGUAGGCAGUUUGACUGGGGCGGUCUCCUCCUAAAGUGUAACGGAGGAGUUCGAAGGUACGCUAGGUACGGUCGGACAUCGUGCUAAUAGUGCAAUGGCAUAAGCGUGCUUAACUGCGAGACUGACAAGUCGAGCAGGUACGAAAGUAGGACAUAGUGAUCCGGUGGUUCUGUAUGGAAGGGCCAUCGCUCAACGGAUAAAAGGUACUCUGGGAUAACAGGCUGAUUCCUCCCAAGAGUUCAUAUCGACGGGGGAGUUUGGCACCUCGAUGUCGGCUCAUCACAUCCUGGGGCUGUAGCCGGUCCCAAGGGUAUGGCUGUUCGCCAUUUAAAGUGGUACGUGAGCUGGGUUUAAAACGUCGUGAGACAGUCUGGUCCCUAUCUGCCGUGGGCGUUGGGAAUUUGAAGGGGGCUGCUCCUAGUACGAGAGGACCGGAGUGGACAGACCUCUGGUGUACCGGUUGUCACGCCAGUGGCAUUGCCGGGUAGCUAAGUCUGGAAGAGAUAACCGCUGAAAGCAUCUAAGCGGGAAACUUGCCUUAAGAUGAGAUUUCCCAGAGCCUUGAGCUCUUUGAAGGGUCGCUCGAGACCAGGACGUUGAUAGGUCAGGUGUGGAAGUGCAGUAAUGCAUUAAGCUAACUGAUACUAAUUGCCCGUGCGGCUUGUCCCC